RNA transcript from Erpetoichthys calabaricus (reedfish), 7785 nucleotides. It is a transcript of the gene named LON peptidase N-terminal domain and ring finger 1, with no coding region annotated. The record is from RefSeq and is a predicted model, not a curated record. The transcript has 13 exons. Lineage: Eukaryota; Metazoa; Chordata; Cladistia; Polypteriformes; Polypteridae.
UUGUUUGAACAUCGAGAUGGACUUUUAACGAUAGAGGCAGGUGAUCGGUACAAGCGGGCGCUAUAUAUAUCUAUAUAUAUAUAUAGAUAUAUAUGAAACUAUGCAAUUACGAGAAUGACAAUAAACUGUAUGUAGACGGAGGUUUGUAAACAGAAGAAGUCUGUAAGGGGCUUAUUCGAAAACGAGUUGAAGAAAGGAGAAAAAAAAGUUACAUGCUCAUUUUCAUUUCACCUUUCAGACCUACGAUUCUUGGUGUAACUUUUUAGAUAUUACACUUUGGAGCAAAAAAAAAAGCUGACCGCGAACGUGCGAUGAUAACUUAGAUAUUUUUAUUUUCAAAUAGUUUGCUGGCCAUACGAAGGACAUAAAGAUGGAACUGCUCCUGUGUCCCGCUUGUCGGUUCCGUUUGGGCGAGCCCGUAACGGUGUGCUGCGGUCACACUUUCUGUAAGCGCUGCACGGAUAAGACGCUCCGGUCCAGGUGUCCAGUCUGCGCUGAGACCCUGACGUGGUGGGACGUGAGAAGCCCAAAAAACUGCGUGGUGCUCAGCGACAUCCUGGAGAAAUGUAGUCCAGAAGGACCUGACCUAAAAGAGAACAAGUGCCGAGCUGGGGACUGCCUGCAAAGGGGGGAUUUUCAGAACACCCUGCUGUAUACAGAUAAAGGCUUGCGGCAAGCACCUUACGAUGCCAGUCUGUGGAUAUUAAAGGGUGAGGCCUACAUGGGCAAGCAGCUAUAUUCCAAAGCACUGGAACUCUUCACUUCUCUUUUAACUGGAAGACCUUUGUGGAUGGAGGGAUUUUUUGAAAAAGGGAAAAUCUUUUGGCAAAUUGGACAGAAUGUAGAUGCUUUGCUUCAGUAUCGUCAUUGUCUGAUGUUGGACCCUGAAUAUCAACCUGUAAAGGAGGAGAUUCAUAAAAUUUUGCACAAUGAGAUGUCUCCUUUUCCUGAAAACAAUGAAGAGCUGCUCAGAGUCCUAUCUGUGUACAUAAGAAAAUUUCACUCCGAAACUGAGGCUUCCACCAGUGGAAACAAGUCUUGUUUUUCUAAGCCCUUGGGUGCAGAGCAGAAGCACCAAUUACAGCUUUCAUUCUCACAAAAUGAGGUGGCAGAAGAGGGGGAUAUACAACAUGUGCCACUGGAGAGCUUUGAUACGAAUGAUCAAGAGGUUUUCAAACAGAUGGAGGAUUCUCUUCUUAGAAGUAUAAUUCUAUCAGAUUUGGAAUGCCCCCUCUGUAUAAGGUUGUUUUAUGAGCCGGUCACGACUCCCUGUGGACACACAUUCUGUAAGAGCUGCAUUGAGCGAAGCUUGGACCAUAAUGUGCGCUGCCCACUUUGUAAACAGAACCUCAGAGAGUACCUCAAAAACAGGAAAUAUAACCGCACCCUUUUACUAGAGGAAAUAAUGUCCAGAAGCUUCCCAUUGCAGCUGGAAGAGAGGAGGCAGGUGCAUGAAGCAGAAAUUGCUGAACUUUCAAAUUUAACAAAGAAUAUUCCAAUCUUUGUGUGCACUAUGGCCUACCCUGGAAUCCCCUGCCCUCUUCAUAUAUUUGAGCCUCGAUACCGCUUAAUGAUGCGCAGAUGUAUGGAAACUGGGACAAAACGGUUUGGGAUGUGCACGUAUCAGCACGGAAAAGGGUUUGCCGAAUAUGGAUGCAUGUUGGAGAUUCAAAGUUUUAAUGUGCUCCCUGAUGGGAGAUCCUAUGUGGAUACAGUAGGAGGGAGUCGUUUCCGUGUGCUUCGCCGAGGACAGAGGGAUGGAUAUCACACGGCUGAUGUAGAAUAUCUGGAAGAUCAAAAAGUGGAAGGAGAGGAUCUAGCAGAUUUGCAGUCCAUUCAUGAUGAAGUCUACCAUCAGGCACAGGAGUGGUACAGCAGUCUGCCUGGUCGGAUCCAAAGCCAGAUUAUUCUUCAACAAGGACAGAUGCCUGAAACAGAGGAGGACAUACAAGCAUCUUCAAACGGUCCACUGUGGUGCUGGUGGCUCCUUUCAGUUCUGCAACUAGAACCAGCUUAUCAAAUCAAAGUUCUGUCAUUGACAUCCUUGAAAGACAGACUCUGCCACCUGCGUGCCAUCCUGGAGAUUCUCUCAAAGAACUGAUUUUUUAUGAGGUUCUAUGAAAGGAGUUUGUGUAUAAGGAGUGUUGCAUCUGUAGCCAAGUUUAUGUAUGAUAUGACUGUUACCAGAUUUUUAUUAGUUUUAGACAAUAUGCUGAUGGCAUCAUUUUUCAGUCAUGCAUAAAUGAGUACUCCUUUCUGCAAAAUUUUGAGCAAAUCUGCUGUCCCUUAAAUUUACACUCAAAAAUAUUUAUCUGAUUAAGAACGUAUGAUAUAAUUGUCAAUUAUCAUGUACUCUUCAUUGUUUGUCAUUAUAUUGUUAAACAUUUAAUGUUACUGGUUAAACAUUCAUAUUUGUUGUCCGAAAUAAUUUGUUUUUUGAACUUGUCUUUUUCAUUUCUGAAAUACCAUAGUGUUGUACCGCGUUAGCCAUUAUGAAUGUAGUGAGAAGUCAAGCAAAAUGAAGAAGGGGCCUCAGUUGCCUCGAAAUCUUGCAUAUUGUAAUCUUUUUAGUUAGCCAAUAAAAGGUGUCAUUUUGCUUAACUUUUCACUACAUUCACGUCUGAAAUAACAUCCGUCUUUGAAAGCCAAUGAAAAAGUAUCAUAUUUGUAAAUUUACAAGCAAUUAGGCACUCGAGUAGAAAUCAUUCAGGUCCAGCAGGUCUAAACUUGAGAAAACGUGUCACCUGGGUUUGAAUCAUCAGUAACGCGUAGUCGUUUUGACCUCUAUGAAUGUGUUAUGGUGUAAAUUCCAGAAGCUUUCUGUCUCCUUUCAGCAGAAUUACUGAAUACGUCUUAAGUGAAGGUUUCUUGAGGGCUCAAAUCUUUUGAAGAAAUAUCUACUUAAAAGUACUGCUUCAGACUAAGUGGCACAUUAAGGAGCUUUGAAAGGGAUUACACUUUACAGUGAUAUGCAAGUGCAGAAAAUGAUACCGCUUUAACCUCUUUUAAAAAGAUUUAUUCUACAGAAAGGGGAAUUCAGGUAUGCCAUUACUGUUCUCCAUGUGAAAACGCAAGCAGCAAAUGAAUGUCUAGCGGGGAGGAUUCAUCUUCUUCCUGUCUCUGCUGAUGCGCUCAAUAUCCAUUGUGGACAAAUGGCACAUCAAAUGUGCAUUUGGUCAUUUUAUUUGUAGCAGAGGUACUUUCAGAAACAAAUUGAAAACACUACUGUGGUUGGAAAUCAUUUUCAUUUAAAAAUGCUAUUUUUCAAAUAAAAAUGUACUAUUGUGGGCAUAGCCUUUGUGACUGAUUGUAUGAGGCUCUUACCAAAGUUCUGUCAUUUUUGGUUUUCGAUGGCACCUUUCCAACCUGUCAUCUAGGUGCCUUAAAUAGUAAACAAGAAUGUGAUAUAUAAGCAAUACAAAAUAAAUUAAAUGGUAGUCUGAGGUGUCACUAACAAAUACGUAAAUUUUGCAUCAAAGGCAGCAAGCUGACCGAAGUCCUGUAUUGACUGUUUCUUUCUUGAAUAUACAGCUGCUGUAGUUUGGAUUUCACCAUGUUUUAAGGUAAACUUUAAUGUUAAUUCUGAUAGAAAUCAUUUUGACAAUUUUUUAACAAGUAAAUACUAUUGCGUAUAUAGUUUUAUAUCUCUCUUCCCGAUGUUAGAUUUAUAGUCAGAUCAGUUUAAACAUUAGUGCGUUUACAUGCACACACAUAAGCGCGGGGUAAAGUGAAUAAUCCGGUUAAGGGAGAAACCUGAUUUCUUCAUAACUUGUGUUUACAUGUCUUCUGGAGUUCUCCUUUGUCAAAACGUUCCAACGUCAUCAAACUGCACAAAAAGAGUAAAAUGCCAUCAUUGACUUCCGUGAUUCCAAACAUCAGCAAGUGAUAAUUUUCUUGUGUUUUAUAGAUGUGUUUAGUCAGAUAGGCCUUUUAUUUACAAGUUUCUGUUACCAGAUUGCACAAAGCAAACUUGUUUCUGCUCGGCUGUGUGAUUGAGCCCUGCAAAGGACCAGGGGCCUCAUGUAUAAUGGCGUGCGUAGAACUCACACUAUAACAUGGCGUAAGCACAAAAGCGGAAAUGUGUGUACGCACAAAAAAAUCCAGAUGCAUAAAUCUGUGUGAAUGCCAACUUCCACGUUCUUCCGCUCCAUAAAUCCUGAUCAGCAUGAAAAGUAUCUCACGUGCACACGCCUACUGUCCCGCCCCAACUCCUCCCAGAAUUACGCCUCUUUGAAUAUGCAAAUCAAUAUAAAUAGCCCUUAAGCGCAGCCUUCUGUGAAAAGACAAUAGCAAAAGUACGAGGGAAAAUAGAAGAAUUUCAGCGAAUACCAAAUGGAGGCAAAGAAAAACAUACUAUUUGUUGGUUUAAACAGUGGUAUAAACAACAAAAGGAAGUGACAUAGCGUGUCAGAGAAACUCGAAAGCUCAACUUUACAAAGUCGCACAGAGCCCGAAAUAAAAAAGAAGUUGUCACAUAUCAAAGUCGCCAUGAAAAGGCGAGUCGUAGCCCACCGUCUGAGUGUCAUAUGAAAGUUUAUUAGGGUACAGAGAAAAAAAAAAGGCACACAGUGGGAAAAAAGCACGAAAUGUCAACUUUAAUCUCGAAAUUUCCACUUUAAUCACGUAGUUUAUUUUGUCAUUAAAGCAGAACAUCAUAAACUUCAUCUUAAAAUCGUUUAGUUACGAUGGGAUUUGAGAAACUAUUAAAUUAAUGUAGCACGUUAAAUGCUAUGUUUUGUAUUUGAUCUUCUCUGUACUCUAUGUGCGUGGAUCACUAUGUGCUUCCGGGCUUUCUCUUCCUCCGACAGGACACAGAAUCCAUUACAUUCAUAAUAUUCCAGCUCUGUGAAUAAUUAAAAUGCUGAAAAGUAUGCGUGAUAUCAUUUUCAUGAUGAUAGGAGUUAAAGCAUGUUAUUAAACAUGGGAACACGGUGGCGCAGUGAUUUUUCAUGUCUCACGCAUGAUGCUUGCUGCGCCGUGCGCGACCUUCGAUGAAAUACUUUAUUACAGAAAUACUGUCUCUUUCAAAUGUACUAACCCCCAAUUCCUGUCCUUACUUUUGUUUCUCCAAAUACCAAAGUCCCCACACAAUCAGCUCUGUAAUAGACGUUAAGCCAUCUGUAAGCUUAGAAUGCUGAUUCUUCAAAACUUUUAAGGAACAUUGAAAUAUCUUCGUAAUGUUUAAUUAUUCUAUCCAUCUAUCCUUCCAGUGUUGCGCCAGCCACAGCAAGAAUACAACGCGAGGCAGGAACAAUCCGUGAACAAAGCUCCAGCUCCUUGCUAGCGCUGCGGCACCAUGUAGUUAAAGUUAAAGUUUUAUCUAAUAAACAUAUUUUCAGCAUUUCAUCUUAAUAAUGAUAUCGUCAUCAUAUGUAAAUACGCGCUUUAUAAAGUGGCUCAGGUUGUGCAAUAUUAUAACUGUAUCGCAAGUUUACAGUGAGGUAAUUGUACUUACAAGUACAAACAGUUCUAUAAGGAGCACUUGAUGGACUGAAUGAGUGUGUUUAUAUCUCUUGGGAUGGAACUGUUUCUGAAGCACGAGGUCCGCACAGGAUAGGUUCUGAAGCGUUUGUCGGAUGAGAGCAGUUCAAAUAGCGAAUGGCUGAGGCAGCGUGUGCUUGAUGCUGUAUACCGAUAAUUCUCUUUCCGAUCAGCUGCUGUACAGCUGUGAUUCACACUCAGAUACAGUGAUAUAAAUACUCCGAGUGGUGCAGUGAGAGUAAUAUGGAAAAAGAUGAUCCGCUGUGGCAGCCACUAAUGGGAGAAGCAGAAAGAAGAAGAAGAAGGUGCAGUGAGAGUAACAAUGCUAAAGCAGUUAUGGUAUUUGGAAUAGUUUGACCAUUCUGUGGACCAUUAUGUUGUUACAGGUUAAUUACAAUCAGAUGCAUUAAACUUAUAAACAAUAUGCGGUUAAUUUCAGUGUAUUUAUAAAGCCGCGUCAGGGAUGUGGAUGUAAAACAAGAAAGGGAAACCACAAAGGAGCAGUAGCACUGCUUUGAUGCUGGGUGCUGCCAGUCUGCAAAACCGAACGAAGAACUUGCGUACGCCAGGGUAUGAACUACCGUGGAAAUGUGUGUGGCUUUAAGCCAAGUUUGGGUUUUAUACAUCGCGAUUUGACCGUGGAAACAUUUGUACGCAACAUUUCUGUGCAUACGCACCAUUUAUACAUGAGGCCCCAGGAUAUCUUCUUGCCUUACAACCCAGUACUGCCGGAAUAACAACAGGUAUUUUUACUUCGAUAAGAGAAGUAUUGCAGUAGGUUGCUCGUUACUUUCAAAAGUAAUCGGACUAUGCAGCGCACAUUACUUUUAACGUGUCACCCUACUGCUCUCAAGAUUAUGUUGCAGAGUUUAGCACUGUACAUUCAUCUCAUCAACAUAAAUUGAGAAAUUUUUGAUUUAUUGAGACAGAUUGUUUCAGCCAGGAAAAGGAAUUGUGCGAUCACCUGAACAUUUUCCUCUGGAAAAGCAUUUUGUGGACACUUCUAUGUGUUGAUGCUUGAUGAAUGUGUGAAGCAAAUACACGUGCAGGCAGACAGAGAGAAACAGACAUGUGCAGACUACAAAAUCCUUAAUGGAAACCCAGUUAAGGGUUUACAUGGCCGCAUGAUCGAGGUAAUUAUGGAGAAAUCUACCUCUGUUAACCCCACUUCUCUAACCAGAAUAAGGGUUUCUGUGAAUAACCUAAUUAGUUAUCGGAACACAUUUAAAUGUGCUAAGUGAUGUAUUUCUCCCCAUCCAGAAUUAAUUCAUGUUUUUGUGCCUAGCACUUCUGGAAUAGGGAUCAGCUUGCACUGACCUCGAACUGGACAGUUCUUUAGAAAAACAACUGGAAAUUUUAAAGGGAUUAAUACACCUUAGAUCUUCUCACUAACAGACAGAGGUACAGUUGCCUGUUUUUAAACCUUAUGUUGCCAGAAAUUGUUAAUAAGAGUUGCCUAAGCCUUAUCAUAAUGAGAUCAUUUUCAAACUGUUUUUCCCUUAUAUUUUAGCUGAUCAUGUGUAUUACCUGCCGUGUUUAUGUAAUUAAGUAUUUAAAAAUUAGGAAAUAUUGCAUAUGGAAGGAAGCAGGUUAGUUCUUCACACUUGCCUGGUUAGUCAGUAGUAGUUUCAUGAAUGUAGUAGUUUAGCUGACCAAUUGUGUCAUCAAAAUGUAUGUGGUGUGGGUUUUUUUUAUUAUUGUUAUUAUUUUUUAAAUCAAUCAGGAUUUCUGUUUCAACUACAUGCCUUAAUGGCCUUGUCCUAAUUACUACAGAUCUUUGUACAUGUAAGUGCUUCCUCAUUCGUGAUGUUCUUUCCAUUACCAUAAUUACUACUGACUUCCUCGAGUUCAUGCAGGAGCCUUCUGCCUUGGUGUAAAAUACUUUUUUACACAGUGACAGACUGUGUUAAAUGAUCUAGGAGUACCGCAGUUGUUUAUAAUGUUUUAAAGGAGAAUUGAAUUAGCUGUUUUGAGUCCUCAUUUGAAUAAAUUCACUAUGUGCUGCUCUUUUAUUUUAUUCUCUAAUGCAUUAACCCUCAUUGUUCGUUUGUCUCAGUAAUGCUAAAUAUAUAUUUUUUUCUCAUUUGUGCAAUUUUUAAAAACUUUUGUUUUUAAAGUGGUAUGUCUCUGUUCCUUGACCCCCACAGCUGUCUUAACUUGGUUAUUUAGUGCAAAAAUUGUAAUUCAGAUUUUCAAAGCAAUAGUAGAGACAUGUAUUUGCUAAAAUACCAUGUUUUGACUUGUAAAGGGUUAACUGUAAAAAAAUAAAUUAUAUAUACAAGAUAUCCAUCCAUCCAUCCAUUU